Molecule: ribosomal RNA, 23 nt
Filed under: Coccomyxa subellipsoidea
Lineage: Eukaryota; Viridiplantae; Chlorophyta; Trebouxiophyceae; Coccomyxaceae
Description: partial 26S ribosomal RNA
Source: RNAcentral
UGAGUUCAGGCAAGAACACCCCG